GACAGAGGUGCCAAGCGUUAGGCGGAAUCACUGGGCUUAAAGCGUGUGUAGGCGGCCCGGUAAGUCCGCUGUGAAAGUCGGGGGCUCAACCCUCGAAUGCCGGUGGAUACUGUCGGGCUAGAGUGCGGAAGAGGCGAGUGGAAUUCCUGGUGUAGCGGUGAAAUGCGCAGAUAUCAGGAGGAACACCAAUUGCGAAGGCAGCUCGCUGGGACGUAACUGACGCUGAGACGCGAAAGCGUGGGGAGCAAACAGG
RNAcentral lists this ribosomal RNA (253 nucleotides) under uncultured bacterium. Its description in RNAcentral is "partial 16S ribosomal RNA". It matches the Rfam family "Bacterial small subunit ribosomal RNA", at positions 524 to 776 of the family's 1533-position model. The record is from RNAcentral.